Geodermatophilus obscurus DSM 43160 is the source of this 71-nucleotide regulatory RNA element. NCBI's taxonomy places the organism in Bacteria, Bacillati, Actinomycetota, Actinomycetes, Geodermatophilales, Geodermatophilaceae. The record is from Rfam.
GAGGAAGCCCGGUGCGACUCCGGCGCGGUCCCGCCACUGUGACCCGGCACCCGCCGGGGAGUCAGGAACUC